RNAcentral lists this ribosomal RNA (860 nucleotides) under uncultured archaeon. RNAcentral's name for it is "bacterial SSU rRNA". It matches the Rfam family "Archaeal small subunit ribosomal RNA", at positions 26 to 893 of the family's 1478-position model. The record is from RNAcentral.
ACUGCUAUCGGAUUGAUACUAAGCCAUGCGAGUCUUUGUAGCAAUACAAGGCGGACGGCUCAGUAACACGUAGUCAAUCUAACCUAUGGACGAGGAUAACCUCGGGAAACUGAGAAUAAUACUCGAUAGAUCAUUAUACCUGGAAUGGUUUAUGGUCCAAAUGAAUUCCGCCAUAGGGUGGGACUGCGGUCUAUCAGCUUGUUGGUGAGGUAAUGGCCCACCAAGGCUAUAACAGAUACGGGCUCUGAGAGGAGAGGCCCGGGGAUGGGUACUGAGACACGGACCCAGGCCCUAUGGGGCGCAGCAGGCGAGAAAACUUUGCAAUGUGCGAAAGCACGACAAGGUUAAUCCGAGUGGUUCCUGCUAAAGGAAUCUUUUGUUAGUCGUAACACCACUGAUGAAUAAGGGGUGGGCAAGUUCUGGUGUCAGCCGCCGCGGUAAAACCAGCACCUCAAGUGGUCAGGAGGAUUAUUGGGCCUAAAGCAUCCGUAGCCGGCUUUGUUAGUUUUCGGUUAAAUCUAUAUGCUCAACAUAUGGGCUGCCGGGAAUACUGCAAAGCUAGGGAGUGGGAGAGGUAGACGGUACUCCGUAGGAAGGGGUAAAAUCCUUUGAUCUAUGGAUGACCACCUGUGGCGAAGGCGGUCUACCAGAACACGUCCGACGGUGAGGGAUGAAAGCUGGGGGAGCAAACCGGAUUAGAUACCCGGGUAGUCCCAGCUGUAAACUACGCAAACUCAGUGAUGCAUUGGCUUGUGGCCAGUGCAGUGCCGCAGGGAAGCCGUUAAGUUUGCCGCCUGGGAAGUACGUACGCAAGUAUGAAACUUAAAGGAAUUGGCGGGGGAGCACCACAAGGGGUGAAG